This is a non-coding RNA of Mycena alexandri, 92 nucleotides long. The record is from the annotation of a GenBank genome assembly. Lineage: Eukaryota; Fungi; Basidiomycota; Agaricomycetes; Agaricales; Mycenaceae.
GACCCAAUGGCACAACGGUUAGUGCGUUUGCUUUACUUAUACGAUGGACAAGAUAGUGGCAAGAGGUCCCCGUUCGAUUCGGGGUUGGGUCA